RNAcentral lists this transfer RNA (75 nucleotides) under Candidatus Saccharimonadota bacterium. RNAcentral describes it as "tRNA-Met". It matches the Rfam family "tRNA". Rfam says of the family: Transfer RNA (tRNA) molecules are approximately 80 nucleotides in length. Their secondary structure includes four short double-helical elements and three loops (D, anti-codon, and T loops). Further hydrogen bonds mediate the characteristic L-shaped molecular structure. tRNAs have two regions of fundamental functional importance: the anti-codon, which is responsible for specific mRNA codon recognition, and the 3' end, to which the tRNAs corresponding amino acid is attached (by aminoacyl-tRNA synthetases). tRNAs cope with the degeneracy of the genetic code in two manners: having more than one tRNA (with a specific anti-codon) for a particular amino acid; and 'wobble' base-pairing, i.e. permitting non-standard base-pairing at the 3rd anti-codon position. The record is from RNAcentral. RNAcentral also lists the same sequence under 1 other name. Lineage: Bacteria; Candidatus Saccharimonadota.
CGCGGAGUAGAGCAGCGGCAGCUCGUGUGGCUCAUAACCACAAGGUCGCAGGUUCGAGUCCUGCCUCCGCAACCA